CAGCCGCCGCGGUAACACGUAGGUGGCAAGCGUUGUCCGGAAUUAUUGGGCGUAAAGGGCUCGCAGGCGGUUUCUUAAGUCUGAUGUGAAAGCCACCGGCUCAACCCGGGAGGGUCAUUGGAAACUGGGAAACUUGAGUGCAGAAGAGGAGAGUGGAAUUCCACGUGUAGCGGUGAAAUGCGUAGAGAUGUGGAGGAACACCAGUGGCGAAGGCGACUCUCUGGUCUGUAACUGACGCUGAGGAGCGAAAGCGUGGGGAGCGAACAGGAUUAGAUACCCCCGUAGUCCCUGUCUCUUAUAC
This 301-nucleotide ribosomal RNA is filed under the name uncultured bacterium. RNAcentral's name for it is "partial 16S ribosomal RNA". It matches the Rfam family "Bacterial small subunit ribosomal RNA", at positions 509 to 807 of the family's 1533-position model. The record is from RNAcentral.